CCCUUAGACGUUCUGGGCCGCACGCGCGCUACACUGACCAGUGCAACAAGCAUCCGUCCUUGGCCGACAGGCCCGGGCAAUCUUUGAACGCUGGUCGUGAUGGGGAUAGACUUUUGCAAUUUUUGGUCUUCAACGAGGAAUUCCUAGUAAACGCAAGUCAUCAACUUGCACUGAUUACGUCCCUGCCCUUUGUACACACCGCCCGUCGCACCUACCGAUUGAAUGGUCCGGUGAAGCCUCCGGAUUGGCGCGCACCUCGGUGCCGCCGAGAAGUUGGCUAAACCUUACCAUUUAGAGGAAGGUGAAGUCGUAACA
This 315-nucleotide ribosomal RNA is filed under the name uncultured eukaryote. RNAcentral's name for it is "partial 18S ribosomal RNA". It matches the Rfam family "Eukaryotic small subunit ribosomal RNA", at positions 1470 to 1796 of the family's 1831-position model. The record is from RNAcentral.